RNAcentral lists this ribosomal RNA (253 nucleotides) under uncultured bacterium. RNAcentral describes it as "partial 16S ribosomal RNA". It matches the Rfam family "Bacterial small subunit ribosomal RNA", at positions 524 to 776 of the family's 1533-position model. The record is from RNAcentral.
GACAGAGGGUGCAAACGUUGUUCGGAAUUACUGGGCGUAAAGCGCGUGUAGGCGGCUAUGCAAGUCGGGCGUGAAAUCCCACGGCUCAACCGUGGAAGUGCACUCGAAACUGCGUAGCUAGAGUCUCGGAGAGGAAGGUGGAAUACUUGGUGUAGAGGUGAAAUUCGUAGAUAUCGGGAGGAACGCCGGUGGCGAAAGCGACUCUCUGGCCCGUUCCUGACACUGAGGCGCGAAAGCUAGGGGAGCAAACAGG